This 460-nucleotide ribosomal RNA is filed under the name uncultured bacterium. Its description in RNAcentral is "partial 16S ribosomal RNA". It matches the Rfam family "Bacterial small subunit ribosomal RNA", at positions 338 to 795 of the family's 1533-position model. The record is from RNAcentral.
CCUACGGGAGGCAGCAGUGAGGAAUAUUGGUCAAUGGACGGAAGUCUGAACCAGCCAUGCCGCGUGCAGGAAGACGGCUCUAUGAGUUGUAAACUGCUUUUGUACAAGGGUAAACCUGAAUACGUGUAUUCAGCUGAAAGUACUGUACGAAUAAGGAUCGGCUAAAUCCGUGCCAGCAGCCGCGGUAAGACGGAGGAUCCAAGCGUUAUCCGGAUUUAUUGGGUUUAAAGGGUGCGUUGGCGGAUUGAUAAGUUAGAGGUGAAAUGUCCGAGCUUAACUCGGGAACUGCCUCUAAUACUGUUGGUCUAGAGAGUAGAUGAGGUCGGCGGAAUGUAUGGUGUAGCGGUGAAAUGCUUAGAGAUCAUACAGAACACCGAUUGCGAAGGCAGCUUACCAAUCUAUAUCUGACGUUGAGGCACGAAAGCGUGGGGAGCAAACAGGAUUAGAUACCCCAGUAGUC